Molecule: transfer RNA, 64 nt
Filed under: Dinoponera lucida
Lineage: Eukaryota; Metazoa; Arthropoda; Insecta; Hymenoptera; Formicidae
Description: tRNA-Leu
Source: RNAcentral
UUUUAAUAUGGCAGAUUAGUGCUAUAGAUCUAAAAUCUAUAAAUAAAGUUUUCUUUUAUUAAAA